CAGGUUGAAAGAUGAUGAGAUGAAGAGAUCGUUUAGUGCAUGAUGUGAUUCGAAUAAAUUGAGAGGGGAGAAGCGGAUUUCAGGAAACAAAGAAAAAAGCGUAAAUAUUCAAUUUGUUAAACUUUGAUUCUCUGUAUAUACUCUGUUA
Caenorhabditis elegans is the source of this 148-nucleotide non-coding RNA. Lineage: Eukaryota; Metazoa; Nematoda; Chromadorea; Rhabditida; Rhabditidae. The record is from Ensembl.